GCUUGCUGGGGGGAUUAGUGGCGAACGGGUGAGUAACACGUGAGUAACCUGCCCUUGACUCUGGGAUAAGCCUGGGAAACUGGGUCUAAUACCGGAUAUGACUCCUCAUCGCAUGGUGGGGGGUGGAAAGCUUUUGUGGUUUUGGAUGGACUCGCGGCCUAUCAGCUUGUUGGUGGGGUAAUGGCCUACCAAGGCGACGACGGGUAGCCGGCCUGAGAGGGUGACCGGCCACACUGGGACUGAGACACGGCCCAGACUCCUACGGGAGGCAGCAGUGGGGAAUAUUGCACAAUGGGCGGAAGCCUGAUGCAGCGACGCCGCGUGAGGGAUGACGGCCUUCGGGUUGUAAACCUCUUUCAGUAGGGAAGAAGCCGCAAGGUGACGGUACCUGCAGAAUAAGCGCCGGCUAACUACGUGCCAGCAGCCGCGGUAAUACGUAGGGCGCAAGCGUUAUCCGGAAUUAUUGGGCGUAAAGAGCUCCUAAGCGGUUUG
RNAcentral lists this ribosomal RNA (492 nucleotides) under Arthrobacter sp. AS14. RNAcentral describes it as "bacterial SSU rRNA". It matches the Rfam family "Bacterial small subunit ribosomal RNA", at positions 78 to 582 of the family's 1533-position model. The record is from RNAcentral. Lineage: Bacteria; Bacillati; Actinomycetota; Actinomycetes; Micrococcales; Micrococcaceae.